This 462-nucleotide ribosomal RNA is filed under the name uncultured bacterium. RNAcentral describes it as "partial 16S ribosomal RNA". It matches the Rfam family "Bacterial small subunit ribosomal RNA", at positions 28 to 507 of the family's 1533-position model. The record is from RNAcentral.
GACGAACGCUGGCGGCGUGCUUAACACAUGCAAGUCGAGCGGAAAGGCCCUUCGGGGUACUCGAGCGGCGAACGGGUGAGUAACACGUGAGUAACCUGCCCCAGACUUUGGGAUAACCCUCGGAAACGGGGGCUAAUACCGGAUACGACACAGCUUCGCAUGGGGUCUGUGUGGAAAGUUUUUCCGUUUGGGAUGGGCUCGCGGCCUAUCAGCUUGUUGGUGGGGUGAUGGCCUACCAAGGCGACGACGGGUAGCCGGCCUGAGAGGGCGACCGGCCACACUGGGACUGAGACACGGCCCAGACUCCUACGGGAGGCAGCAGUGGGGAAUAUUGCACAAUGGGCGGAAGCCUGAUGCAGCGACGCCGCGUGAGGGAUGACGGCCUUCGGGUUGUAAACCUCUUUCAGCAGGGACGAAGCGUAAGUGACGGUACCUGCAGAAGAAGCGCCGGCCAACUACGUG